RNAcentral lists this transfer RNA (71 nucleotides) under Camelus bactrianus (Bactrian camel). It matches the Rfam family "tRNA". Rfam says of the family: Transfer RNA (tRNA) molecules are approximately 80 nucleotides in length. Their secondary structure includes four short double-helical elements and three loops (D, anti-codon, and T loops). Further hydrogen bonds mediate the characteristic L-shaped molecular structure. tRNAs have two regions of fundamental functional importance: the anti-codon, which is responsible for specific mRNA codon recognition, and the 3' end, to which the tRNAs corresponding amino acid is attached (by aminoacyl-tRNA synthetases). tRNAs cope with the degeneracy of the genetic code in two manners: having more than one tRNA (with a specific anti-codon) for a particular amino acid; and 'wobble' base-pairing, i.e. permitting non-standard base-pairing at the 3rd anti-codon position. The record is from Rfam by way of RNAcentral. RNAcentral also lists the same sequence under 2 other names. Lineage: Eukaryota; Metazoa; Chordata; Mammalia; Artiodactyla; Camelidae.
GAGCAUAUAGCUCAAUGGUAGAGCGUGUGCUUAACAUGCACAAAGUCCUGGGCUCAAUCCCCAGUACCUCU